UAUUGGUCAAUAGCCUAACGGUUGAACCAGCAACUUGGAGGAACGAAAAACCGAAGUCAUGAGCGGUUGCCAUAUUAAUAUAGAAUGUGGGGCAUUUAUGCGAAUAGUUCGAAGUAAAUUUUGAUAAUGACAAUAUUUACUUCAAGGUCUUGACCAACCCAUGUGCCAGCAGUCGCGGUAAGACAUGAAAGGCAAGCGUUAUUCAUCUUUAUUAGGUUUAAAGGGUACCUAGACGGUCAAAAUAAGCUUUAAAUAGUACUUAAUUGACUAGAGUUUAAUGUAAGAAAUUUAGCACGGUGAGUGUAGGGAUAAAAUCCUUUGAUACCAUUUAGAGACUGGUUUAGGUGAAGACAAUUUUCUAUGUAAUAACUGACGUUGAGGGACGAAGGCUCGAUAUAAGAAACAGGAUUAGAUACCCCAGUACUCAGGGCAGACAAUGAUGAAUGUCAUAUGUAAGAGGAUUGCCUAUUAUGUAUAAAUGAAAGUGUAAACAUUCCACCUCAAGAGUAAUAUGGCAACAUAUAAACUGAAAUCAUUAGACCGUUUCUGGAACUCGUAGUGAAGUAUGUUGUUUAAUUUGAUAACCCACAAAGAACCUUACCACAAUGUGAAUAGUUAUAUACUUUUGUAUAUUUCGGACAAGCGUUGCACGGCUGUCUACAGUUGAUAUCGUGAGAAAUGGUUAGAUCCAUAAAUCAGCGUAAUCCCUGACUUUAUUUAAUAUAGAGUAGUUCAACCGAAAAUCCAAAAAAACUAGGUUUUUUUUCUCUUUGGUUUAGAAUACAUGGGAGCAUGACAAGUCAUCAUGGCC
Molecule: ribosomal RNA, 811 nt
Filed under: Taitaia aurea
Lineage: Eukaryota; Fungi; Ascomycota; Lecanoromycetes; Ostropales; Graphidaceae
Description: mitochondrial SSU rRNA
Rfam family: Bacterial small subunit ribosomal RNA
Source: RNAcentral